CAGCCGCCGCGGUAAUACCGGCGGCCCGAGUGGCGGCCACUAUUAUUGGGCUUAAAGCGUCCGUAGCCGGGUUGGUUAGUCUCCCGGGAAAUCUGGCCGCUUAACGGUCAGAAUUCCGGGAGAUACUGCCAGCCUAGGGACCGGGAGAGGCCGAGGGGAUUCCCGGAGUAGGGGUGAAAUCCUAUAAUCCCGGGAGGACCACCUGUGGCGAAGGCGCUCGGCUGGAACGGGUCCGACGGUGAGGGACGAAGGCCAGGGGAGCAAACCGGAUUAGAUACCCGGGUAGUCCUGGCUGUAAACGAUGCGGACGUUGUGUCGGACAAGCUAUGAGCUUGUCCGGUGCCGGAGGGAAACCGUUAAGUCCGCCGCCUGGGGAGUACGGCCGCAAGGCUGAAACUUAAAGGAAUUGGCGGG
RNAcentral lists this ribosomal RNA (414 nucleotides) under uncultured microorganism. Its description in RNAcentral is "bacterial SSU rRNA". It matches the Rfam family "Archaeal small subunit ribosomal RNA", at positions 459 to 872 of the family's 1478-position model. The record is from RNAcentral.